RNAcentral lists this long non-coding RNA (268 nucleotides) under Lactuca sativa (garden lettuce). RNAcentral's name for it is "long non-coding RNA (LSAT_LNC007149)". The record is from RNAcentral. Lineage: Eukaryota; Viridiplantae; Streptophyta; Magnoliopsida; Asterales; Asteraceae.
AAAUCCUAACCCUCCUGUUCCUGAUCACCUCCUCCGUCAACUUCAGACCAUACGCGCCACCAUCAACCAUCUCACGCGCCUCCAACCUAAUCCCUCUGUUCAGACCACCGCCUCCAACAUCCCAUCUGACCUCCUACUCUAUACUCAGCUAUCACCCAUUGCAUCUGCCUGCCGCCACCACCCUGAUCUUCUUCAUCAGUACAUGAAUUACACCCCUUUCUCCGUUUGUCCCCAGCUGUCUUCCGCCGCCGCCGAACCCUUGAUCCUU